Molecule: long non-coding RNA, 1136 nt
Organism: Lytechinus pictus (painted urchin)
Lineage: Eukaryota; Metazoa; Echinodermata; Echinoidea; Temnopleuroida; Toxopneustidae
Exons: 2
Source: RefSeq, a predicted model, not a curated record
AUAGCUAGCUAGGUUAAGGUUGCUAGUAGGGGUUAGUCGCAUUCACUGAACCUGCUGUGCGGUCGUUCCAGAUUCGAUUAGGCAUUAGAUAUUGAGAUUUUAGUGUAGUGUAGAAUGGAUAUUGAAAGAGAAUAGAUGAUGGCCAGACACAGCAAGCUACAGCUCCAAGUCCUACAGCUGUACAAAACCUUCCUCCGGGUGGCGGAAAACAAACCAGGCGUGAAGGCUCAGAUACAGUACGAAUUCAGGAAGGGUGCCAAGAUGCCCCGCACUGACCUAAUGCGGAUAGAAUAUGUGGUACGGCGAGCAGAGAGACAGCUUAAGAUGCUUCAGACUGGGAGUGUAGAUCGAGCCGGAACAUUUACAAAUGAGAACGAAGAUACAAGCAGUGGCAUUGUGGGCGACUCAAGAAGUAACAGUGGUAGAUCAAGAUCAGAUUCAGAUAGGUGACCUAUGAUGUCGCUGAUGAGUUUCUCUAUAAGGACUCAGAAGAGCAGAAGUUAACAAAUGAUAAAGGAAAUACAAGCUUCAAAGUUUGUAGUGACUUGUUAGCAUAAAUUAGCUUUCACAGACAAUGUGGUUUUUAUUUGGGCUUUGAGGAGCAGAACUUACCAAAUGAGAAAGAAAGUACAGUUGGAAGUAGUGAUCUAAAAAAGCAUGAUUAGAUUCAGAGAGGUGACUGAUGUAGUCAAUGUGCUUUUUAGUUAUGACUCCAAGGAGCAGGAGUUUGCGAAUGAGAAAGGGGGUCACAAUUUGGAGUGAUUUUUAAAAUGCAUAUUAGAUUCAAAUAAGAGACCAAUGGUGCGGUCCAACUACUCCAUUGUGAGGCAAAAGGAUUGGACUGUGUGGGAUCAUUUCACAUUGGAAUGUUAUCCAUUGUUCACAGGAGAGUGUUACCUGAUGAGAAAGGAUCACACACAACUGUAGUACUGUACUCUCUUUGUGCCUAAUUUUCUCUUCUUUGCAAAGUGGAAUACACAUAAACUGGUUGAAUGGGAACAUGAAAUGAGUUUGUACUGAUUGGUUGAUUUGAGCUGGACUAUACUUUUUAAAAAAUGAUGCGGAAUUUCUUUUAAUGAUGAAUAUGUAAUCUUUUAUUUUUUUCAUUUCAAAGAUUAAAUGUUUUUUCACCUACA